This is a non-coding RNA of Pelobates cultripes (western spadefoot toad), 234 nucleotides long. Lineage: Eukaryota; Metazoa; Chordata; Amphibia; Anura; Pelobatidae. The record is from the annotation of a GenBank genome assembly.
AGAAUUAAGCACAGCUGUUAUAUACUUACCUUUCCUGUCUCUCAGUGCCCUGUUGUGGUCUUGUGUUACCUGUAUUGCAGUUUGCUCGUGUUGCUCUCUGGUUACUGUUUAUUUGGCUCGUUAUUCCGACUUUCCUGUAUUCUCCAUUCCUUUGACCUCGGCUUGUUUCUCGUUCUCGUGUUUUCUGGCUCCCUUUACUUGGCUUGUCUCCUGACUAUUCUUAGUGUGCUUAAC